AGUGAACGCUGGCGGCAGGCCUAACACAUGCAAGUCGAGCGGCAGCGGGUCCUUCGGGAUGCCGGCGAGCGGCGGACGGGUGAGGAAUGCAUCGGAAUCUGCCCUGUCGUGGGGGAUAACCUAGGGAAACUUAGGCUAAUACCGCAUACGACCCACGGUUGAAAGCGGGGGAUCGCAAGACCUCGCGCGAUAGGAUGAGCCGUUGUCCGAUUAGCUAGUUGGCGGGGUAAAGGCCCACCAAGGCGACGAUCGGUAGCUGGUCUGAGAGGAUGAUCAGCCACACUGGGACUGAGACACGGCCCAGACUCCUACGGGAGGCAGCAGUGGGGAAUAUUGGACAAUGGGCGCAAGCCUGAUCCAGCCAUGCCGCGUGGGUGAAGAAGGCCUUCGGGUUGUAAAGCCCUUUUGUCCGGGAAGAAAUCGUCUGGGCUAAUACCCCGGGCGGAUGACGGUACCGGAAGAAUAAGCACCGGCUAACUUCGCG
RNAcentral lists this ribosomal RNA (484 nucleotides) under uncultured bacterium. Its description in RNAcentral is "partial 16S ribosomal RNA". It matches the Rfam family "Bacterial small subunit ribosomal RNA", at positions 30 to 507 of the family's 1533-position model. The record is from RNAcentral.